RNAcentral lists this ribosomal RNA (251 nucleotides) under uncultured bacterium. Its description in RNAcentral is "partial 16S ribosomal RNA". It matches the Rfam family "Bacterial small subunit ribosomal RNA", at positions 528 to 779 of the family's 1533-position model. The record is from RNAcentral.
CGUAGGGCAAGCGUUGUCCGGAUUCAUUGGGCGUAAAGCGCGUGUAGGCGGCCAGGUAGGUCGGAUGUGAAAACUGGAGGCUCAACCUCCAGCUGUCAUCUGAAACCAUCUGGCUAGAGUCCGGAAGAGGAGAGUGGAAUUCCUGGUGUAGCGGUGAAAUGCGCAGAUAUCAGGAAGAACACCUAUGGCGAAGGCAGCUCUCUGGGACGGUACUGACGCUGAGACGCGAAAGCGUGGGAGCGAACAGGAUU